CUCAUCGUCUGUUCGCUCCGAAAGCCAGUGUGGAUGUGCAGAGGCCGACAGUGUCGCCGUCAGGAACCAUCCUGCUGGGCCGCGAAGCCAGCCCCGCCUCUGAAGGGAUCAAAAUGCAGAUACCACAUCGAGAAGAAGAAGCAGGAUCCGAAUAGAAAUCCUGAAUCCACUUCUGGAGGAAGCCGCGUUACAGCGCCGGGUCCCCUGGGUGCCUUUGUGGCCUUUCUCUCCUUUCAUCUUGUUUCAUCACCAGCGAGGGGGCAGCCCAGCCCCCAGUCCACGGUCCAAUCCCGAGCCAGAGGUUCAGGCUGUCUCCAAGGGAACCGGGGCCGUCUUUCUGUUGCUUCCACCGCCCCCUCCGAGUCCUGUAAGCGCAUCUCUCAUGUAACAGGAAAAAACGCAAGAGGGGAGCUUUGCCUGCGGAUGAGAAGAAAUCACUCGGCCCGGCGGGUCUGCGGCACCGGCGUGAGCCUGGGGGCUUCCCAUCGGGCUCCCUCCUCCCCCGCUGCUGGACGGAGUCCCCCAGACAGCAGGUUCACAGGCCCAGCAGUGGAGAGUGACAGGCGCUACAACGUGGAGGUGGUGGGCGCAGGUUGCCAUGACAACACAGCACGACCUUGAGCUCCACAAGGACAAGCGCAGACCAAGGGAUGCUCUCUGGGUGAAGAUGCUCCAAGAGAAAAUGAAGACACAGCAGAGGCAGAGGAAGACCCCCGGCCUCGGCUCUCAGCGGGACCUGGAGGGUCAGCAGACAGAGGUCACCAGCUUGAGAGACAUGGGGCUGCCCAGCUUGGCAUCAGUUGCACGAAGGCUCCGCCCCAUGAAAGUGCCUGCAUUUACUCAUGAAACCGUCCCUUGGACUCUAGAAGUCUGUGUUAGCUGGACUCUGGAGAGCGGAUCUGAAUGGCAGUAUCCCGAGUUCCAGGCUUUUGGUCCUGAUUCCUGCUUUAUACCGGGCUUCCCCGGUGCCUCAGAAGAAAAGAAUCUGCAGGGCAGAGCGAGGCAGGAGCCGCAGAAGACCUGGGUUUGAUCCCUGGGUCAGGAAGAUCCCCUGGAGGAGGGCAUGGCAACCCACUCCAGCAUUCUUGCCUGGAGAAUCCCACGGACAGAGGAGCCUGGUGGGCUGCAGUCCAUGGGGUCGCAAAGAGUCGGACACAGCUGAAGUGACUGGGGCAUGCACAGUGGUCCAGCCCAGCCCACAGAAGAGGAAGUUUCCUGGCCCCAACUCCCAGAAAAGAAUGUGCUAUAAACUUGCCCUCCCAUAGGGUCAGUGCUUCCCAGGAUAAAAUUAUUCACUUAAAUAAUUUUAAUAUAAUAAACGUGAAAAUUUAGUAGGAACUGAGAUUUAUGGGAAAGUGCUAGCAUUUGGCAGAUUCUGAUGGGUUAGAAAGAUCGCAUUCAGUAUUUUCAGCAGUGUUCAGGUGGGCAUUGUUCUAUUAAUCGUACCUGAAGACAUUAAUAGAAA
This is a long non-coding RNA of Cervus elaphus (red deer), 1465 nucleotides long. RefSeq lists it as uncharacterized. NCBI's taxonomy places the organism in Eukaryota, Metazoa, Chordata, Mammalia, Artiodactyla, Cervidae. The record is from RefSeq and is a predicted model, not a curated record. The transcript is spliced from 5 exons.